Molecule: transfer RNA, 73 nt
Filed under: Chlamydotis macqueenii (Macqueen's bustard)
Lineage: Eukaryota; Metazoa; Chordata; Aves; Otidiformes; Otididae
Description: Chlamydotis undulata macqueenii tRNA
Rfam family: tRNA
About the family: Transfer RNA (tRNA) molecules are approximately 80 nucleotides in length. Their secondary structure includes four short double-helical elements and three loops (D, anti-codon, and T loops). Further hydrogen bonds mediate the characteristic L-shaped molecular structure. tRNAs have two regions of fundamental functional importance: the anti-codon, which is responsible for specific mRNA codon recognition, and the 3' end, to which the tRNAs corresponding amino acid is attached (by aminoacyl-tRNA synthetases). tRNAs cope with the degeneracy of the genetic code in two manners: having more than one tRNA (with a specific anti-codon) for a particular amino acid; and 'wobble' base-pairing, i.e. permitting non-standard base-pairing at the 3rd anti-codon position.
Source: Rfam by way of RNAcentral
GCCUGGCUAGCUCAGCUGGUAGAGCAUGAGACUCUUAAUCUCAGGGUCAUGGGGUCAAGCCCCACUUUGGGUG